AAGUCGUAACAAGGUUUCCGUAGGUGAACCUGCGGAAGGAUCAUUAUAGAGAACAUGCCCUUCGGGUAUAUCUCCCACCCUUUGUUUACAAUACUCGUUGCUUUGGCGGGCCUGUCUUUUGACUGCUGGCUCCGGCUGGCUAGUGCCCGCCAGGGGACCCCAAAAACUCUUUAUCAUGUUGUCUGAGUGUCAUACAAUAGUUAAAACUUUCAACAACGGAUCUCUUGGUUCUG
This 233-nucleotide unclassified non-coding RNA is filed under the name Helotiales sp. Its description in RNAcentral is "partial contains small subunit ribosomal RNA, internal transcribed spacer 1, and 5.8S ribosomal RNA". The stretch from base 1 to 46 matches the Rfam family "Eukaryotic small subunit ribosomal RNA", at positions 1786 to 1831 of the family's 1831-position model. Lineage: Eukaryota; Fungi; Ascomycota; Leotiomycetes; Helotiales. The record is from RNAcentral.